RNAcentral lists this ribosomal RNA (802 nucleotides) under Barrientosiimonas sp. RNAcentral's name for it is "bacterial SSU rRNA". It matches the Rfam family "Bacterial small subunit ribosomal RNA", at positions 92 to 901 of the family's 1533-position model. The record is from RNAcentral. Lineage: Bacteria; Bacillati; Actinomycetota; Actinomycetes; Micrococcales; Dermacoccaceae.
UUAGUGGCGAACGGGUGAGUAACACGUGAGUAACCUGCCCUUCACUCUGGGAUAAGCCUGGGAAACUGGGUCUAAUACUGGAUAUGACGGCGCACUGCAUGGUGUGUUGUGGAAAGAUUUUUUCGGUGAAGGAUGGGCUCGCGGCCUAUCAGCUUGUUGGUGGGGUAGUGGCCUACCAAGGCGGUGACGGGUAGCCGGCCUGAGAGGGCGACCGGCCACACUGGGACUGAGACACGGCCCAGACUCCUACGGGAGGCAGCAGUGGGGAAUAUUGCACAAUGGGCGCAAGCCUGAUGCAGCGACGCCGCGUGGGGGAUGACGGCCUUCGGGUUGUAAACUCCUUUCGCCAUUGACGAAGCCCUUCGGGGUGACGGUAGGUGGAGAAGAAGCACCGGCUGACUACGUGCCAGCAGCCGCGGUAAUACGUAGGGUGCGAGCGUUGUCCGGAAUUAUUGGGCGUAAAGAGCUUGUAGGCGGUUUGUCGCGUCUGCUGUGAAAGCCCGGGGCUUAACUCCGGGUCUGCAGUGGGUACGGGCAGACUAGAGUGUGGUAGGGGAGACUGGAAUUCCUGGUGUAGCGGUGAAAUGCGCAGAUAUCAGGAGGAACACCGAUGGCGAAGGCAGGUCUCUGGGCCAUUACUGACGCUGAGAAGCGAAAGCAUGGGGAGCGAACAGGAUUAGAUACCCUGGUAGUCCAUGCCGUAAACGUUGGGCGCUAGGUGUGGGAUCCAUUCCACGGGUUCCGUGCCGCAGCUAACGCAUUAAGCGCCCCGCCUGGGGAGUACGGCCGCAAGGCUAAAACU